GUGCCAGCAGCCGCGGUAAAACCAGCACCUCAAGUGGUCAGGAUGAUUAUUGGGCCUAAAGCAUCCGUAGCCGGCUUUGUUAGUUUUCGGUUAAAUCUAUAUGCUCAACAUAUAGGCCGCCGGGAAUACUACAAAGCUAGGGAGUGGGAGAGGUAGACGGUACUCGAUAGGAAGGGGUAAAAUCCUUUGAUCCAUUGAUGACCACCAGUGGCGAAGGCGGUCUACCAGAACACGUCCGACGGUGAGGGAUGAAAGCUGGGGGAGCAAACCGGAUUAGAUACCCGGGUAGUCCCAGCUGUAAACUAUGCAAACUCAGUGAUGCAUUGGCUUGUGGCCAGUGCAGUGCCGCAGAGAAGUCGUUAAGUUUGCCGCCUGGGAAGUACGUACGCAAGUAUGAAACUUAAAGGAAUUGGCGGGGGAGCACCACAAGGGGUGAAGCCUGUGGUUCAAUUGGAGUCAACGCCAGAAAUCUUACCCGGAGAGACAGCAGAAUGAAGGUCAAGCUGAAGACUUUACCAGACAAGCUGAGAAGUGGUGCAUGGCCGUCGCCAGCUCGUGCCGUGAGAUGUCCUGUUAAGUCAGGUAACGAGCGAGAUCCCUGCCUCUAGUUGCCACCAUUACUCUCAGGAGUAGUGGGGCGAAUUAGCGGGACUGCCGCAGUUAAUGCGGAGGAAGGAGGGGGCCACGGCAGGUCAGUAUGCCCUGAAACUCUGGGGCCACACGCGGGCUGCAAUGGUAGUUACAGUGAGUUCCGAAUCCGAAAGGAGGAGGUAAUCUUCAAAUGCUACCACAGUUAUGAUUGAGGGCUGCAACUCGCCCUCAUGAAUAUGGAAUCCCUAGUAACUGCGUGUCAUUACCGCGCGGUGAAUACGUCCCUGCUCCUUGCACACACCGCCCGUC
RNAcentral lists this ribosomal RNA (900 nucleotides) under uncultured archaeon. Its description in RNAcentral is "bacterial SSU rRNA". It matches the Rfam family "Archaeal small subunit ribosomal RNA", at positions 455 to 1354 of the family's 1478-position model. The record is from RNAcentral.